AUCUACUAUCUAUCUAUCUAUCUAUCUAUCUAUCUAUCUAUCAUCUAUCUAUCUAUCGAUCGAUCUGCCAAGAAGUAUAUCGCAUGGAAAAGAAUCACAACUUUUUCCAAAAAUUGUUCUCUAGAGAAACCCAGAAGCUGCAUUAGGGUCUGGUUCAAGUUAAGUUUAGUCAGAAUUAGCAAGGCCAGGGUGAGGCCGAGGUUAACUCAUUUACUGCCUAUGGGCUGCAGCUGCCCCUGCAUUAAUAUGCCCAUGGAAUUACGCAAGAUUCAAAGAGAGAGACAGAGUUGCUCUGGUUUUCAUGGAUGUAUUCCUCGGUGUUAUUUUAACAUAUUGUUGUUCUUUGAUGCAUGGAGCCCUAGAGGAAGCCCCAUGCUGCCUCUUUCUACUUGCUUUA
This 397-nucleotide long non-coding RNA is filed under the name Rattus norvegicus (Norway rat). RNAcentral's name for it is "long non-coding RNA NONRATT008662". Lineage: Eukaryota; Metazoa; Chordata; Mammalia; Rodentia; Muridae. The record is from RNAcentral.